GAUGAACGCUGGCGGCGUGCUUAACACAUGCAAGUCGAACGAUGAAGCCCAGCUUGCCGGGUGGAUUAGUGGCGAACGGGUGAGUAACACGUGAGUAACCUGCCCUUAACUCUGGGAUAAGCCUGGGAAACUGGGUCUAAUACCGGAUAGGAGCGUCCACCGCAUGGUGGGUGUUGGAAAGAUUUAUCGGUUUUGGAUGGACUCGCGGCCUAUCAGCUUGUUGGUGAGGUAAUGGCUCACCAAGGCGACGACGGGUAGCCGGCCUGAGAGGGUGACCGGCCACACUGGGACUGAGACACGGCCCAGACUCCUACGGGAGGCAGCAGUGGGGAAUAUUGCACAAUGGGCGCAAGCCUGAUGCAGCGACGCCGCGUGAGGGAUGACGGCCUUCGGGUUGUAACCCUCUUUCAGUAGGGAAGAAGCGAAAGUGACGGUACCUGCAGAAGAAGCACCGGCUAACUACGUG
RNAcentral lists this ribosomal RNA (466 nucleotides) under uncultured bacterium. RNAcentral's name for it is "partial 16S ribosomal RNA". It matches the Rfam family "Bacterial small subunit ribosomal RNA", at positions 28 to 507 of the family's 1533-position model. The record is from RNAcentral.